GGAAAAGAUACUUCCUGGAGAGAGAAGUGAAAUGGCAGAGAAGAAUGAUUAGCAGUAUAAGGAGCAUCAUCACUUCUGUUUGCCUCGGUGCAAGAUGCGAAGACAUUAACGACAGCUCCUGCGUAGGGUGGGAGAACACAGCAAGGGGAACAGCUACGUGGCCCCUCCAGAGUGGAAAAUGUUACUAAGUUAACCUCCCUGUGCCGAAUCCCGC
Molecule: non-coding RNA, 214 nt
Organism: Microcebus murinus (gray mouse lemur)
Lineage: Eukaryota; Metazoa; Chordata; Mammalia; Primates; Cheirogaleidae
Source: RefSeq, a predicted model, not a curated record